AGAACACAGGAUGUCAGCGCCAUCUUGUGACGGCGAAUGUGGGGGUGGCUCCCAACAGGUUUUGCUAUGGGUUUCGUUUCUCAAGGUGUUCCAGAUUUUGCUCCCUUUUCCUGGACCCUGACUCUACUUCACUGCUAUAACAGCCAUGUACCAUGCCUGCCAUGAUGCUGCCAUGUUCCUGCCUUGAUAAUAGACUGGAUCUCUGAACCUGACACAGCUGAAUUUGACCAUGUAGUACCAAGAUCCUGUCACAACAGUAUCUUACAAAAUGAGAAUGGAAUGGAUGUGAAUCUUUGGUCUGUAGCAGCUGUUAUUAAAUCUAUAAGCCUAGCUAACCUCAGGAAGAUGGCUGGCAAAUGACUGUUUUAUUGUAUGCUUAGGUAUGCUUUGAUGUACUUUGGACACAGUUUUUUUUUUUUAAAUAAGAUUAUAGAUUAAAAAUUAUGUCCCAUGCAUGAAAUAUAGUGUAAUGUGGAGUUUAACCAAUGAUGACAUGUUUUGAGCAAUGAAAGUGCUAAAUUAGGUAAUAUUUAAGAUAUGAAUAAGAAUACCCAAGGGUAGGCUGAACCAAACUCUAACAAUGUUCACGAAAAUUGCUGUAUCACAAGGUUCACUUAAAUCAAUGUCACUAGAUCCUGCACCUCUGUCAAACACCCAGUGUUUCCAAUGUCUACGGCUACCAGUCUGACUGUUCUCCAAAAUUUACAACACAGAGAUCAGAAGGUUAUGUCUUCUUCCCAUCUAUCUACUCUGGCUUUACUAAUAAGUAAAAAUUAAGGGCUGAUGUAAUUCUUAACUGUCACCACCAAGAGACUUUGUGAUAUAUCCUUGGCUCUGAGUUCUUCCACAAAAAGGAUUAAACAUACAACAACAAAAAUCUGAUGAAAUUCUGGGAUACUUCAAACAGUUACAUGUUGACUCACAAAGCUCACUAACUGAUGAACCCAGUGAACUUGGAGAAUAAUAACGCAAAAGUGAGGUAACUGUUGAUUGCACAGUAGAUGCAGUUUGGGUGUGAGUAAGCACAUUGGUAGUCUCAGAACUCCUUAUCUAAAUGGCCAGAGUUGAACCCAGGUAGAUAUCAUUUUCAUUGGGCUUAAUUAAGCCUUGUGCAUGUGGAUUGUUUUGGCACGAAACAAGGCCCUAACCUGAAACCUAGCAGUAUAAAAAUUCCCAUUGGCAAGGCCAGAAGUCAUUACAUUUGCUAUUCUCAUUUAUUAUAUUAUGAAUUCUCCACCCUGUAAACAAGAUAAUUUAAAACACACUGAUCUAAAUUAAAACCAUAAGUAAUCCAUUAUAAGUGAGUUUUGCCCAGUUUCUUUCAAAAUGAUCUGUUUAUACUUGUAAACCUCAAUUUGAUUUUUAAACAGAGCCUCUACUUUGCUUACUUUCUUGAAAUUAUCUAGGCGUUUCAUCUGUAAAUCUCUCUGUACCUUUGAACCCGUUGUCUUGUUCACUGUAUUCUUCACUUUCCUACCUGUACAAAUGUCUUAACAGUUCAUCUACUUUCUAACCAGAGUUACGGUAGUCUGUAAUGCUUAGAUGCAUACAAGAAGUGAAAAUUUGGAAUAAUAUUAAAUUGGGAGAUGUUGUAAGCACCAAAUCCAUAUUGAAUUUUAGACUUUUCACAUCAAAAGAACAUAAAUCUAUAAUUAAUAUUUCAACAAUAAUUAUGAGUUUAAAUGAUGUCAGGACCGGAAUGAACACAUUUUCCCUUUUAUUAUUUCAAGAACAUUUUUAUUACAAUUUGUUUUAUCCAGUAUUUAAGCUCAUCUUUAUGUAAAAAAAAGUUAGUAACCUUUUAGAAAUGGUUAUGUUUUGAGGCAGGGUCUCUCCCUGAACCUAGAGCUCACUGUUAUCUAGAUGGGCUGGCUAGUGAGCCCCAGGGAUCCUCUUGCUUCUGUUUCCCGAUCCUGGGAAAAGGAGCACUUAGCACCACACAGAGCUUUUUCCAUGUGUGCUGUGGAUCAGAAACUCAUGUUUUUGCAGCAAGCCCUUUGUUGACUGUGCCAUCUCUCUAGCCCUCCCUCCAGCUGAAAUAUUCUAGAAAGAAACAUGAACAGAUAAAAAUCUUUAUGCCCUAUUGCAACAUUGG
This 2095-nucleotide long non-coding RNA is filed under the name Mus musculus (house mouse). Its description in RNAcentral is "predicted gene, 35101". The record is from RNAcentral. Lineage: Eukaryota; Metazoa; Chordata; Mammalia; Rodentia; Muridae.